CCCUCUUCCAAAUAAUUUAAGAUAUAACCACUAUAACCAGUUUUCACUGUGUUCUUUUUAACCUUCUUCCAUGUAUGCACACAUUCAUAGUUCACUGAUUUUUUCCUUAACAAAGACAUGAUAAUUCUACAAUUUUCUUUUUUUUUUUUUAAAUCAUUUAAUAUAUGGUGUACAACUUUCCAGUUCAGUACAGGUAGACCUAUCUUAUUUGUGGUAAUUUAAAAAUAUGCCUACAAAUUAUUUGAUCCUUUCCAUUCAAGAAGUGAAGCCUAAUUCCCCACCCCUUGAAUAUGGGCUGAACUUAGUGAGUCACUUCUGAUGAAUAGGAAAUAAGGUCGAAAAGAAAGUAGUGUUGUGCAACUUUGGAGGCUAGGUCUUAAGAGUCACUGCAGGUUCUUUCUUGCUCUCUCUCUUGGAUCACUAGCUCUGGGAAAAGCUAUAUGCCAUGUCAUGAGAAAAUCUUAGCCUUGUGGCGAGGAAUUGGGACCUUCUGCUUCCAUUCAGAAAUGAGACAUCUUGCCAACAGCCAUGUGAGUAAACUGUCUUAGCAGUGGAUCAUCCAACCCCAGUGCAGCCUUUAGAUGACUGCAGUCCCUGCUGACAGCUUCACUGUAACUUCAUGAGAGACCUUGAGACAGCUACUCUUCUUCCAGAUUUCUCAGCCUCAGAAACUGGGAAUACUGGAUUUGAGGUACCUGCAGUCUUAGAGAAGUGGUCCAGAAGUGGGGCUCCCAGGUUCUGAUCAGCUCAACUCUGCCAUCAAGCACUUGUAGAACUUUAAAGAGGACCAAACUUCUAAAUCUCCAAGGCCUCAGUUUCCUUACCUGUAAAAUGGGGGCAUGAGCCUUUGUCACCCCAGUCAUUCCUUGCUGAUCACAGGUAGGUUCCUGGGCAAAUGAUAAGCAAUUAGUUAAGAGCCCUCUCUCUCUAGAUGAAAAACGUUUCAUGCGUGCCCCAAGAGUAGGACAGGUUUGGGCUCCCCCAACACGUCACGGGCUGCUCAAGUGUAAACGGCAGAGAACCAGACACACGAACGGUUCUCUAGGAGCGGGAUCUCCGGGUCUCGGCCAGAGAUCUGAGGAACCUCUGCUCCUGCAGCGAAGACUCGCGCGGCCUCCAAUGCUUAUCCAGAUCCCGGCCAGAACUCUGCCCUAGAACCGAACGCCGGGCACCCAUACCCAGGGUCCAAACUACUUCUGCCCUCCUCUCCUUGCCUUUAUUCAGUCUUAACGUGAGAGAGAAGCCGUGACGUACCCACCUACACGGGUGUCUCCGGGAUUUCAAAACCGGAGUCGCUUCUCAGUCCCGGACCCUCGAUUUUCUGCCACUCUUCCUUCAAACACAGCUCGUCCUGCUCCUGUCCGCUUCUGGCUCGGUCCUCUCGAGAGUUCACGUCACUUAACGGAACCUGAGAGAGUGGACCGGGAUGACCAAAACACUCGGUCCACACAAACAAUGGCCGCAGCCCUGCUGGACCGAAACGGAAGUCCAGGGUCUUGGAGUAGACACUUGCAGUGUUUCCAUGGAUACGGGGGGGGCGGGGCGGGAAGAGCGCAGGUGAACGUGAUCCCUGAUUGGCCAAAAGAUCCCGGCGCCUCCCGACCUUUGGCCACUGUCAUUCCUGCGCUGGAAGGCUGUGCGCUCCGGAGCUUUGGCGCUCGGGGAUGAGGCGAGGACACACCGGCCUUAAUGGAAUAGGAGUAUUCCCGAUGCUUUUAGGGCCCGGGAAGUGGGGCGUGGCUGGAGUUAAAGGGAAAUGGAGCGACUGCCUUCGGAGAAUUCUGUGACCCUCACCGCCUGCCACUGCGGAACCCGUCGACGCGACCCCACGGAAACGCUGUCACAUCGCCUUUGGUUGGCAAGGCCUGGUUGUCCUCGCUUUCCCGCGCCCUCGGCGGAAUGGGCACCCCACUAUCCCUGGCACUAGCUAGCUUCGGUCUAAACUUUAGCGCUUUUCAAAUUCCGCCCUGUUGUUGCCAGGGACCCUCCGUUCCUGGUACAGUGGGGCUUUCCUCCCUCCUGCAUUGCUGCAAAGUCCCAGGCUCCUCUGGAGACUCCAGGCAGAGAAGGGAAAUGCACAGUGGAGCUGAGAUGAAGCCAUGAGAAGAAGAGCCCCUCCUCAGUGUCCUGCGACCACAGAGAGAGUUGCAAGAGCCUGUUCUAUUAUUUAGCUAAGUGUGUUAGGAAAAUACUUUCGCAUCUUUGGGCCCUGUCCCUCACACUUGGGCUGGAUUAAUAAUAUUCAAACAUUUUAUUAGGCAAGGAACUUUUGGUAGGACAGUCAUUAAAAGCAAGGGACUCCUUGGAUUCUAAUCUGGCAACACCACUUCUGAGAUGUUGGCUGGAUUACCUAAUCUUUAAGCAUCAGCUUAACAGGCUUACUCUUAAUAGCCAAUAAUAAUAGUAACCGUUUUACAGACUUGUUAGAUUGAAAUGAGUUAGUGUAGUUAAAAUGCUUAAACCAGUUCCUGGUACAUAGGAAAUACUCUAAAUGUGAACUGUUUAUUUACAGUGUGGUGUUUAGCAGGGGUGGGUGGCCCAGUGCCUAUCUGCUUGAGUUCGCCACACAAUGAGCACCUCCAUUUUUUACAACUCUGGCGACCACAUUUUGAAAAUUAUUGGGCAUGGACCCUCCCUGGCUUCAACAUUCAGAGAGUAUAGCAUAGCAUUUUUUUUUAUUGCAUUUUAGGUUUUGGGGUACAUAAGCAGAGCAUGCAAGACAGUUGCAUAGGUACACACAUGGCAGUGUGUUUUGCUUCCUUUCUCCCCUUCACCCACAUUUGGCGUUUCUCCCCAGGCUAUCCCUCCCCACCACCCCCUCCCACUGGCCCUCCCCGUUUCCCCCCAAUAGACCCCAGUGUUUAGUACUCCCCUCCCUGUGUCCAUGUGUUCUCAUUUUCAUCACCCGCCUAUGAGUGAGAAUAUGCGGUGUUUCAUUUUCUGUUCUUGUGUCAGUUUGCUGAGGAUGAUGUUCUCCAGAUUCAUCCAUGUCCCUACAAACGACACAAACUCAUCAUUUCUGAUUGCUGCAUAAUAUUCCAUGGUGUAUAUGUGCCACAUUUUUCCAAUCCAGUCUAUUAUCAAUGGGCAUUUGGGUUGAUUCCAGGUCUUUGCUAUUGUAAACAGUGCUGCAAUGAACAUUCGUGUACAUGUGCCCUUAUAGUAGAACGAUUUAUAGUCUUUUGGAUAUAUACCCAGUAAUGGGAUUGCUGGGUCAAAUGGAAUUUCUAUUUCUAAGGCCUUGAGGAAUCGCCACACUGUCUUCCACAAUGGUUGAACUAAUUUACACUCCCACCAACAGUGUAAAAGUGUUCCUUUUUCUCCACAUCCUCUCCAGCAUCUGUUGUCUCCAGAUUUUUUAAUGCAUAGCAUUUUUAAGAUGUGGGCUUUGUUGACUGACAGAACUAACUUUAAAACCUAUCAAUCAUUGUUAUCCACUAGGUGGUGUUGAGCAUGUUGUUUAACCGCUCACCCUUAAGUUUUUUCAGCUGUAAAUUGCAAUGUAUUUAAAUAGCUACAAUUGAUAUUUGAAUUACUGAAUGCAAAGACAUUGACCAGUAAGAAGGAACACUGGAAGUGGGCUGUUCUGCCACACUGCUUCCACCCUGAGAAUAUUACUCAUUACUGUUCAGAAAUAAUCCGGAUAAGCCAUGUAAUUUACUUUUCAGUAUUCCUAGAACAAAAAUAUCAAGUGUUGGCUAUUGAUGUUAUAAUUAACUUAUCAUUUUAAAAAAAUAGUGUGCUUUGAAACUGAACUAUUUUGUAUGAAGGAUUUGAAAGGUGUAACUGAGUCUCCUGGACUUUUAUGUGUUUGAACUUAUUUUGAGAGGGAAGUGGAUCCUAGGAUUUUGUUUUAAGCAACUGAUUGUUUGCUAAUUAACGAAGAACACUAAUCCUUAAGGCCUUUAUCUCCAGACACACUGAUAAUAUCUUCUCCAUGCCAAGGUUGGUAAAUACUGGGAAAAACCGGGGUUUUUUCAUGUAAAAGAAAGUGAAUAGUUCUCCAGUUUCGUAAGAUGAAUCACAGGAAGGCUCUCUGUAAAAGAUAUAUGAGGAUUAUGGGGAAGAUGAUAAGAAAUGGCUGCCUAAAUGAACUCCUCUAUUUCCUGUUUAUUGUUGUCUGCCUCUCCUAAACCAGAGUACUGAGGUUUAUAAAGAGAAAUGUUGGGAUUGAGCACUCUCUUAGAGACCUAGUGUUAGACCUCUCCGCAUCCCUUUCCUUAUGGGCCAGAUAAGAAUGUGAAGAACAGCAUCAAAGCCUAGGCAUGAGGAGGUAAACAGCGUUUUUUCAAAAGAGCCUGGACCUCACAUCUGUGGACCAUCUAAGAGACUUCUAUAAACUUAUUGGGGUUCCUUGACUCUCAGAGGCCAUGAAGAAGCUGAACAUGUAAACUGACUGUCCCUGUGCUAAAUCUGAGAGAUUAUAAGGAGACGAAAGAGCAAACAGAUUUUCUCCAGGUUCUCCCAAAGGCAAAUGGCAGGCUUUAUGAUUCUAUUCAAUGGUCAACAGAAGUAGAGACCUCUUUGUCAUCCCCAUCUGUAUGACUGCUGCCACUUAAAAUAUUCCAUUAAUCAGACCUGAAUCUCAAUGAAGUAACCAAAAUUAAAAGAAAAAAAAGCUAAGAGGAUCCAGUUUUCAGAGAAACAAAAUGUGUAUCUGAAGAAAUAUACCUGCUAAAGGGCAGAGGCCAAUAUGAAUAAUAAAGAGCAACAAGUACAGCAUACACAAGACUUUUAGGAAUGAAUUCUACCAAGUUACAGUUUGGAGUUUAGCAGGGGUGGGUGGCCCAGAGCCUCUCUGUGUGGGUCCACCACACAAUGAACAUCUGUAUUUCUUAUGACUCUGGAAACUACAUUUUGAAAAUUAUUGGGCAUGGACCUUCUCUGGCUUGAACGUGCAGAGACCCAAAGCACCAGCUCUGAUGGGGGUCCUGGGAGCAGUCACCAGAUGCUUAGAGAUGUACCUGGGGGAGGAGUGAAGAAACUGCCUUGCAUGGGAAGAGAGAGAGAGCCCAAGUUCUUAGUUCAAGAUGUUACAGAUUUGUCAUAGCAAAAAAUUGAAGAAUCUAGGAAUAGUGUGGUGACCUAACUUGGGCUAGUCUGACUGACUCCAUUUUAGCAGUAAGCUCCAGCUUAGCUUCUCCCUCCCUGCCUCGGCCCCCACAGGUACAUUACUGGGUCAUGCUGCACUGAAAGCUUUGAACCACUAAGAGUGGUUCACACCUUUCACAGUACCUGUAACCCAUUGUAACCACAUCCUGCUUGGCAAGUCUACCUGCUGUUGUGAAUACCUUCCUUUGUGAUUGAUUGUAUGGAAAGUUGCCCUUGCUACUCCCCUUGAUGACUGUAUGGAAAUACCCUUAGCAACCAACAAUCCUGGAAACCUCCUGCCUCCUGGUUACCAGCUUCCUUAUCCAACUUGCUUGUUCUACUUCUGGAAAAUUCCACUUCAGCUAGGCUCCCCCUCCCCUACCUAAAUCAAGGUAUGAAGGGAAAUCAAGCCCCUUCCUCAGGGCCAAGAGAAUUUUGAGCAUUAGCCAUCUGUCAGUCGCCAGCUAAUAAAGAACUCUUAAUUUGGAACUCA
Non-coding RNA from Callithrix jacchus (white-tufted-ear marmoset), 5584 nucleotides. Lineage: Eukaryota; Metazoa; Chordata; Mammalia; Primates; Cebidae. The record is from RefSeq and is a predicted model, not a curated record.